This 432-nucleotide ribosomal RNA is filed under the name uncultured bacterium. RNAcentral describes it as "bacterial SSU rRNA". It matches the Rfam family "Bacterial small subunit ribosomal RNA", at positions 338 to 786 of the family's 1533-position model. The record is from RNAcentral.
CCUACGGGGGGCAGCAGUGGGGGAUAUUGCACAAUGGGGGGAACCCUGAUGCAGCGACGCCGCGUGGGCGAUGGAGCGUUUCGGCGCGUAAAGCCCUAUCAGCAGGGAAGAGAAUGGACGGUACCUGACUAAGAAGCCCCGGCUAACUACGUGCCAGCAGCCGCGGUAAUACGUAGGGGGCAAGCGUUAUCCGGAUUCACUGGGCGUAAAGGGAGCGCAGGCGGCACGGCAAGUCCGGUGUGAAAGCCCGGGGCCCAACCCCGGGACUGCACUGGAAACUGCCGGGCUGGAGUGUCGGAGGGGCAGGCGGAAUUCCUGGUGUAGCGGUGAAAUGCGUAGAUAUCAGGAGGAACACCGGUGGCGAAGGCGGCCUGCUGGACGAUGACUGACGCUGAGGCUCGAAAGCGUGGGGAGCAAACAGGAUUAGAUACC